Long non-coding RNA from Eucalyptus grandis, 590 nucleotides. RefSeq lists it as uncharacterized. The transcript is spliced from 2 exons. NCBI's taxonomy places the organism in Eukaryota, Viridiplantae, Streptophyta, Magnoliopsida, Myrtales, Myrtaceae. The record is from RefSeq and is a predicted model, not a curated record.
GCCUUCUUUCCAUGCCUCUCCUCUAUUCCUCUCCCUCAGCCUUCAUAUGCAUCCACCCUCACCAAACCGUUCCUAAAGCUUUUGAGGUCCAUCCAAGUCUCUCUCAGCCUUAGACCGACAUUGACGCAUGUUGGUUCAAGCCGCAAGUCACGUUACUUGGACUUGGUUGCACUCUCAUUCGGGCUUAGUUUGUGUACAUGUUUGACAAUCAAUUUCCUUAUGCUUUUGUAUGCAAGUGAAAUCUCCAACUCUUGACUAGGGCGAUAACCUACGUCAUCAAGUUUUGUUGUGUGCUCACCCAUGUAAACCAUGUGUAUGUUGUAAUAUUAUUUUAUAUGAUUUGCUCAUGUUUGCAUGUUUGAAUACAUUCAUGCCCUAGGAAGAGGUCGAGGUUCGCUCGGCUUGGAUUGGCAUUGAGGCAUGCCGGUUCCAAGUCUCACAUUAGUUUUGGGAGCUGCAAUUACGCUAGAGGAGAUAGAAAUUCGCCUGGCCUACGUGGAUAUUUAUAGUGUGAUGUAAAAAGGAAAAAAGGCCCGUAGAGAAAUGGCUUAUAAAUAUACUGUUAUAAUAUAAAGUAAGGUAUUAUGUGU